RNAcentral lists this transfer RNA (100 nucleotides) under Melampsora larici-populina 98AG31. RNAcentral's name for it is "tRNA-Met for anticodon CAU". It matches the Rfam family "tRNA". From Rfam's summary of the family: Transfer RNA (tRNA) molecules are approximately 80 nucleotides in length. Their secondary structure includes four short double-helical elements and three loops (D, anti-codon, and T loops). Further hydrogen bonds mediate the characteristic L-shaped molecular structure. tRNAs have two regions of fundamental functional importance: the anti-codon, which is responsible for specific mRNA codon recognition, and the 3' end, to which the tRNAs corresponding amino acid is attached (by aminoacyl-tRNA synthetases). tRNAs cope with the degeneracy of the genetic code in two manners: having more than one tRNA (with a specific anti-codon) for a particular amino acid; and 'wobble' base-pairing, i.e. permitting non-standard base-pairing at the 3rd anti-codon position. Lineage: Eukaryota; Fungi; Basidiomycota; Pucciniomycetes; Pucciniales; Melampsoraceae. The record is from Rfam by way of RNAcentral.
AGCGAGAUGGCGCAGCUGGUAGCGCGCUGGGCUCAUACCGCGUACGCAACAGUCUGCGGAAGGCACCCAGAGGUCGUCGGAUCGAAACUGACUCUCGCUA